AUGUCCCAAUACUAGUGGGGAGACGAGGAUGUGAAGAAGCAUAUGCACUGGUUUGCGUGGUGGAAAAUGUGUGUCCCAAAGAGGAACGGAGGUAUGGGUUUUAGAGAUCUUCACUGUUUUAAUUUGGCGUUGUUGGCAAAGCAAUGUUGGAGACUCCUGUCAGAACCAGAUUCUUUGUGUGCUAGAGUAUUAAGAGCCAAGUACUUCCCAGAUGGGGACAUCCUAAACUGCAACCUUAAAAAGGGUAGUUCCUAUACAUGGCAGAGUCUUUGGAGCGGUAUCCAAACGUUUAAAAGAGGCCACAUCUGGAGAGUAGGAGAUGGAACAAAAAUAAAUAUAUGGGACGAUCCGUGGGUUCUAGUAGCCUAG
This 369-nucleotide ribosomal RNA is filed under the name Triticum aestivum (bread wheat). RNAcentral describes it as "partial small subunit ribosomal RNA". The record is from RNAcentral. Lineage: Eukaryota; Viridiplantae; Streptophyta; Magnoliopsida; Poales; Poaceae.